Molecule: ribosomal RNA, 207 nt
Filed under: uncultured bacterium
Lineage: Bacteria
Description: partial 16S ribosomal RNA
Rfam family: Bacterial small subunit ribosomal RNA
Source: RNAcentral
UACGUAGGCGGCUUUUUAAGUCGGAUGUGAAAUCCCUGAGCUUAACUUAGGAAUUGCAUUCGAUACUGGUCAGCUAGAGUAUGGGAGAGGAUGGUAGAAUUCCAGGUGUAGCGGUGAAAUGCGUAGAGAUCUGGAGGAAUACCGAUGGCGAAGGCAGCCAUCUGGCCUAAUACUGACGCUGAGGUACGAAAGCAUGGGGAGCAAACA